GAUGAACGCUGGCGGCGUGCUUAACACAUGCAAGUCGAACGGAAAGGCCAGUGCUUGCACUGGUACUCGAGUGGCGAACGGGUGAGUAACACGUGGGUGAUCUGCCCUGCACUUCGGGAUAAGCCUGGGAGACUGGGUCUAAUACCGGAUAGGACCACAUUUUGGAUGGUGUGGUGGAAAGUUUUUCGGUGUGGGAUGAGCUCGCGGCCUAUCAGCUUGUUGGUGGGGUAAUGGCCUACCAAGGCGUCGACGGGUAGCCGGCCUGAGAGGGUGUACGGCCACAUUGGGACUGAGAUACGGCCCAGACUCCUACGGGAGGCAGCAGUGGGGAAUAUUGCACAAUGGGCGCAAGCCUGAUGCAGCGACGCCGCGUGGGGGAUGACGGCCUUCGGGUUGUAAACUCCUUUCGCUAGGGACGAAGCGUAUUUGUGACGGUACCUGGAGAAGAAGCACCGGCUAACUACGUGCCAGCAGCCGCCGCAG
RNAcentral lists this ribosomal RNA (483 nucleotides) under uncultured bacterium. RNAcentral describes it as "partial 16S ribosomal RNA". It matches the Rfam family "Bacterial small subunit ribosomal RNA", at positions 28 to 523 of the family's 1533-position model. The record is from RNAcentral.